GCAGUCUCAGUUCGGAUUGAAGGCUGAAAUUCGCCUUCAUGAAGCCGGAAUUGCUAGUAAUGGCAGGUCAGCAUACUGCCGUGAAUACGUUCCCGGGCCUUGUACACACCGCCCGUCACACCAUGAGAGUUGGGAAUACCCGAAGCCUGUGAGCUAACUUUUAGAGGCAGCAGUCGAAGGUAGAAUCAAUGAUUGGGGUGAAGUCGUAACAAGGUAUC
This 218-nucleotide ribosomal RNA is filed under the name uncultured bacterium. RNAcentral describes it as "partial 16S ribosomal RNA". It matches the Rfam family "Bacterial small subunit ribosomal RNA", at positions 1282 to 1500 of the family's 1533-position model. The record is from RNAcentral.